This 600-nucleotide ribosomal RNA is filed under the name Vibrio sp. Its description in RNAcentral is "bacterial SSU rRNA". It matches the Rfam family "Bacterial small subunit ribosomal RNA", at positions 127 to 722 of the family's 1533-position model. The record is from RNAcentral. Lineage: Bacteria; Pseudomonadati; Pseudomonadota; Gammaproteobacteria; Vibrionales; Vibrionaceae.
UGCCCUGAUGUGGCGGAUAACCAUGGGAAACGAUGGCUAAUACCGCAUGAUGCGUACGGGCCAAAGAGGGGGACCUUCGGGCCUCUCGCGUCAGGAUAUGCCUAGGUGGGAUUAGCUAGUUGGUGAGGUAAGGGCUCACCAAGGCGACGAUCCCUAGCUGGUCUGAGAGGAUGAUCAGCCACACUGGAACUGAGACACGGUCCAGACUCCUACGGGAGGCAGCAGUGGGGAAUAUUGCACAAUGGGCGCAAGCCUGAUGCAGCCAUGCCGCGUGUGUGAAGAAGGCCUUCGGGUUGUAAAGCACUUUCAGUCGUGAGGAAGGUGGUGUAGUUAAUAGCUGCAUUAUUUGACGUUAGCGACAGAAGAAGCACCGGCUAACUCCGUGCCAGCAGCCGCGGUAAUACGGAGGGUGCGAGCGUUAAUCGGAAUUACUGGGCGUAAAGCGCAUGCAGGUGGUUUGUUAAGUCAGAUGUGAAAGCCCGGGGCUCAACCUCGGAAUAGCAUUUGAAACUGGCAGACUAGAGUACUGUAGAGGGGGGUAGAAUUUCAGGUGUAGCGGUGAAAUGCGUAGAGAUCUGAAGGAAUACCGGUGGCGAAGGC